Molecule: transfer RNA, 67 nt
Filed under: Nipponacmea fuscoviridis
Lineage: Eukaryota; Metazoa; Mollusca; Gastropoda; Lottiidae
Description: tRNA-Asn
Source: RNAcentral
UGGGUUAGAGCCAUAGAGAGGCGUUCGUUUGUUAAGCGGAUCAUUGAGGAGACUUCCUCUAACUCAG